RNAcentral lists this ribosomal RNA (255 nucleotides) under uncultured prokaryote. Its description in RNAcentral is "partial 16S ribosomal RNA". It matches the Rfam family "Bacterial small subunit ribosomal RNA", at positions 523 to 777 of the family's 1533-position model. The record is from RNAcentral.
AUACAGAGGGUGCGAACGUUGCUCGGAAUUACUGGGCGUAAAGCGCAUGUAGGCGGACCUGCAAGUCAGAUGUGAAAUCCCCGGGCUCAACCCGGGAACUGCACCUGAAACUGCGGGCCUUGAGUACUGGAGAGGGUGGCGGAAUUCCUGGUGUAGAGGUGAAAUUCGUAGAUAUCAGGAGGAACACCGGUGGCGAAGGCGGCCACCUGGACAGUCACUGACGCUGAGAUGCGAAAGCGUGGGGAGCAAACAGGA